This 253-nucleotide ribosomal RNA is filed under the name uncultured bacterium. Its description in RNAcentral is "partial 16S ribosomal RNA". It matches the Rfam family "Bacterial small subunit ribosomal RNA", at positions 524 to 776 of the family's 1533-position model. The record is from RNAcentral.
UACGAGAGCCUCGAGCGUUAUCCGGAAUUAUUGGGCGUAAAGGGUGCGUAGGUUGUUCUGUUAGUCUUUUGUCAAAGCCCGGGGCUUAACUUCGGGAAGGCGAAGGAAACGGCAGAACUUGAAAGUGCGAGAGGUAUACGGAACUCAUGGUGUAGCGGUGAAAUGCGUUGAUAUCAUGGGGAACACCAAAAGCGAAAGCAGUAUACUGGCGCAUAUUUGACACUGAAGCACGAAAGCGUGGGUAGCGAAUGGG